RNAcentral lists this ribosomal RNA (324 nucleotides) under uncultured eukaryote. RNAcentral's name for it is "partial 18S ribosomal RNA". It matches the Rfam family "Eukaryotic small subunit ribosomal RNA", at positions 1470 to 1796 of the family's 1831-position model. The record is from RNAcentral.
CCCUUAGAUGUUCUGGGCCGCACGCGCGCUUCACUGAUGCAUUCAACGAGUUUCUUCCUGGUCCGAGAGGAAUGGGUAACCUUUUGAAAGUGCAUCGUGAUAGGGAUAGACUAUUGCAAUUAUUGGUCUUCAACGAGGAAUUCCUAGUAGACGUAGUUCAUCAGACUGCAUCGAUUACGUCCCUGCCCUUUGUACACACCGCCCGUCGCUCCUACCGAUUGAAUGCUCAGGUGAGCCAUUCGGACUUUCAUCAUGCUGGUUUCCAGUUUUGAUGAAGGAAAGUCUUGCGAACCUUAUCAUUUAGAGGAAGGAGAAGUCGUAACA